UGGGGAAUUUUGCACAAUGGGGAAACCCUGAUGCAGCGACGCCGCGUGAUUUAGAAGGCCUUCGGGUUGUAAAAAUCUUUUCUAUGGGAAGAAAAUGACAGUACCAUAGGAAUAAGGACCGGCUAAUUACGUGCCAGCAGCCGCGGUAAUACGUAAGGUCCGAGCGUUGUCCGGAAUCAUUGGGCGUAAAGGGUACGUAGGCGGGUAAGCAAGUUAGAAGUGAAAUCCUAUAGCUCAACUAUAGUAAGCUUUUAAAACUGCUCAUCUUGAGGUAUGGAAGGGAAAGUGGAAUUCCUAGUGUAGCGGUGAAAUGCGCAGAUAUUAGGAGGAAUACCGGUGGCGAAGGCGACUUUCUGGCCAUAACCUGACGCUGAGGUACGAAAGCGUGGGUAGCAAACAGG
This 401-nucleotide ribosomal RNA is filed under the name bacterium. Its description in RNAcentral is "partial 16S ribosomal RNA". It matches the Rfam family "Bacterial small subunit ribosomal RNA", at positions 355 to 776 of the family's 1533-position model. The record is from RNAcentral. RNAcentral also lists the same sequence under 1 other name.